This 557-nucleotide ribosomal RNA is filed under the name Bifidobacterium pseudocatenulatum. RNAcentral describes it as "bacterial SSU rRNA". It matches the Rfam family "Bacterial small subunit ribosomal RNA", at positions 145 to 713 of the family's 1533-position model. The record is from RNAcentral. Lineage: Bacteria; Bacillati; Actinomycetota; Actinomycetes; Bifidobacteriales; Bifidobacteriaceae.
UUCUCCUGGAAAACGGGUGGUAAUGCCGGAUGCUCCGACUCCUCGCAUGGGGUGUCGGGAAAGAUUUCAUCGGUAUGGGAUGGGGUCGCGUCCUAUCAGGUAGUCGGCGGGGUAACGGCCCACCGAGCCUACGACGGGUAGCCGGCCUGAGAGGGCGACCGGCCACAUUGGGACUGAGAUACGGCCCAGACUCCUACGGGAGGCAGCAGUGGGGAAUAUUGCACAAUGGGCGCAAGCCUGAUGCAGCGACGCCGCGUGCGGGAUGACGGCCUUCGGGUUGUAAACCGCUUUUGAUCGGGAGCAAGCCUUCGGGUGAGUGUACCUUUCGAAUAAGCACCGGCUAACUACGUGCCAGCAGCCGCGGUAAUACGUAGGGUGCAAGCGUUAUCCGGAAUUAUUGGGCGUAAAGGGCUCGUAGGCGGUUCGUCGCGUCCGGUGUGAAAGUCCAUCGCUUAACGGUGGAUCUGCGCCGGGUACGGGCGGGCUGGAGUGCGGUAGGGGAGACUGGAAUUCCCGGUGUAACGGUGGAAUGUGUAGAUAUCGGGAAGAACACCAAC